UAAGGGCGCACGGUGGAUGCCUUGGCACUAGAAGCCGAUGAAGGACGUUACUAACGACGAUAUGCUUUGGGGAGCUGUAAGUAAGCUUUGAUCCAGAGAUUUCCGAAUGGGGAAACCCAGCAUGAGUUAUGUCAUGUUAUCGAUAUGUGAAUACAUAGCAUAUCAGAAGGCACACCCGGAGAACUGAAACAUCUUAGUACCCGGAGGAAGAGAAAGAAAAUUCGAUUCCCUUAGUAGCGGCGAGCGAAACGGGAAGAGCCCAAACCAACAAGCUUGCUUGUUGGGGUUGUAGGACACUCUAUACGGAGUUACAAAGGACGACAUUAGACGAAUCAUCUGGAAAGAUGAAUCAAAGAAGGUAAUAAUCCUGUAGUCGAAAAUGUUGUCUCUCUUGAGUGGAUCCUGAGUACGACGGAGCACGUGAAAUUCCGUCGGAAUCUGGGAGGACCAUCUCCUAAGGCUAAAUACUCUCUAGUGACCGAUAGUGAACCAGUACCGUGAGGGAAAGGUGAAAAGCACCCCGGAAGGGGAGUGAAAUAGAACCUGAAACCGUGUGCUUACAAGUAGUCAGAGCCCGUUAAUGGGUGAUGGCGUGCCUUUUGUAGAAUGAACCGGCGAGUUACGAUUUGAUGCAAGGUUAAGCAGUAAAUGUGGAGCCGUAGCGAAAGCGAGUCUGAAUAGGGCGUUUAGUAUUUGGUCGUAGACCCGAAACCAGGUGAUCUACCCUUGGUCAGGUUGAAGUUCAGGUAACACUGAAUGGAGGACCGAACCGACUUACGUUGAAAAGUGAGCGGAUGAACUGAGGGUAGCGGAGAAAUUCCAAUCGAACCUGGAGAUAGCUGGUUCUCUCCGAAAUAGCUUUAGGGCUAGCCUCAAGUGAUGAUUAUU
This 888-nucleotide ribosomal RNA is filed under the name Staphylococcus aureus. RNAcentral's name for it is "partial 23S ribosomal RNA". It matches the Rfam family "Bacterial large subunit ribosomal RNA", at positions 12 to 897 of the family's 2925-position model. The record is from RNAcentral. Lineage: Bacteria; Bacillati; Bacillota; Bacilli; Caryophanales; Staphylococcaceae.